Molecule: ribosomal RNA, 253 nt
Filed under: uncultured bacterium
Lineage: Bacteria
Description: partial 16S ribosomal RNA
Rfam family: Bacterial small subunit ribosomal RNA
Source: RNAcentral
UACGGAGGGUGCAAGCGUUAUCCGGAUUUACUGGGUUUAAAGGGUGCGUAGGUGGGUUGGUAAGUCAGUGGUGAAAUCCCCGAGCUUAACUUGGGAACUGCCAUUGAUACUAUCUCUCUUGAAUAUCUUGGAGGUGAGCGGAAUAUGUCAUGUAGCGGUGAAAUGCUUAGAUAUGACAUAGAACACCAAUUGCGAAGGCAGCUGGCUACACGAGCAUUGACACUCAGGCACGAAAGCGUGGGGAUCAAACAGG